UACGUAGGGUGCAAGCGUUAAUCGGAAUUACUGGGCGUAAAGCGUGCGCAGGCGGCUUUGCAAGACAGAUGUGAAAUCCCCCGGGCUUAACCUGGGAACUGCAUUUUGUGACUGCAUGGCUGGAGUGCGGCAGAGGGGGAUGGAAUUCCGCGUGUAGCAGUGAAAUGCGUAGAUAUGCGGAGGAACACCGAUGGCGAAGGCAAUCCCCUGGGCCUGCACUGACGCUCAUGCACGAAAGCG
RNAcentral lists this ribosomal RNA (240 nucleotides) under uncultured bacterium. RNAcentral describes it as "partial 16S ribosomal RNA". It matches the Rfam family "Bacterial small subunit ribosomal RNA", at positions 524 to 761 of the family's 1533-position model. The record is from RNAcentral.